AGGCAGCAGUGAGGAAUAUUGGUCAAUGGGCGAGAGCCUGAACCAGCCAAGUCGCGUGAGGGAAGACGGUCCUAUGGAUUGUAAACCUCUUUUGCCGGGGAGCAAAGAGCGGUACGUGUACCGCGCCGAGAGUACCCGGAGAAAAAGCAUCGGCUAACUCCGUGCC
RNAcentral lists this ribosomal RNA (166 nucleotides) under uncultured bacterium. RNAcentral describes it as "partial 16S ribosomal RNA". It matches the Rfam family "Bacterial small subunit ribosomal RNA", at positions 346 to 509 of the family's 1533-position model. The record is from RNAcentral.